Molecule: ribosomal RNA, 630 nt
Filed under: Triticum aestivum (bread wheat)
Lineage: Eukaryota; Viridiplantae; Streptophyta; Magnoliopsida; Poales; Poaceae
Description: partial small subunit ribosomal RNA
Source: RNAcentral
GCAAUAUGUACUAUCUGUGGCUGUAGCAACGAAGAUGAGUUCCAUGUAGUGAUUGGCUGCACAAAAAGCAGGGCCUUGCGUCAUGCCUUGAGAGAGGUAUGGGAGCUCCCGCCUGAAUCACAGUUCAAAAACACUGGACCAGAUUGGCUGCAGAUGAUUCUAAGCACAGGAACUGAGAACAUGCAGAGUAGAGUGCUUCCCUUACUCUGGAGAUGUUGGCACCUUCGCGAGGAUGGCGUGCAUGGGGAAGGAAAAGAGCUAAUCAGACAGUCUGUGUUGUUUCUGUUGCGGUAUGAGGAAGAACUGAAAAAUGCAGGUCUGAACAGUGGCUCAGAGUUGGGAAAGGAGGUAGUGCUCCGUCAAACCCUAAACAUCGAGUUCCCAGGCGAGAUAUCAUGUAGUGGUCUCACCGGCUCAUGGUUCAGCCAAAAUCAAUCGGAUGCGGCGUUCCUGCCUAACAGUGGUAAGAGCUGGGCGGGUGCUGUUGCAAGGAAUCACCAGGGCCUUGUACUCCUGUCAGUUGGCAAAGAUCUGUCCAUAUCGGACAGUGUAGAGGAAGCUGAAGCAAGAGCGGCCUUGAUUGGUCAAGCGCUGGCUACAGUUUCAGUAGGCCGGUCAAACUGGAGCUAG